RNAcentral lists this long non-coding RNA (1626 nucleotides) under Daucus carota (carrot). RNAcentral's name for it is "long non-coding RNA (DCAR_LNC004464)". Lineage: Eukaryota; Viridiplantae; Streptophyta; Magnoliopsida; Apiales; Apiaceae. The record is from RNAcentral.
GAGGUACAUUUAUGUUCAUAUAUAUAUUAUCUGCAUAGAAGAGUGAUGUGCAGUAUUACUGUUAUCAGAGCCGGUCCUGAGGCCAAGCUACUUAUGCUAAUGAAUGGGGGCACACAAAAAAGAGGGGCACAUUUUAUAUUAAGGAGCAAACAAAUUUUUAAAAAAUAUAUAUAUGCACAAAAAAUUUCCUUAAGGGCACACAUUUUUUUUUUUUUUUUUAAAAGAUCACCAAACCUGCUCUGAAAUACUUUAAUAGAAUACUUAUAUGAUCGGUCUGAUAAAAAGAUUAUCGAUAUCAUUUCUUAUCUUUUUCCAGAUAUUAUUGUGGGGCACAAUUUUUUUUUCUUGCUUGGGCUUUAGAUAUCUCAGGGCCAGCCCUUACUGUUAUUGUAUGUGUGUCAUACUCAUAUCCAAUUAUAAACCUGCCUUUCUUUUCAUCAAUGGAGACUACCCAUCCCUCCUCCCAAUAUACCACAAUACCUUAUUCGAAGUCCUCCUCUUCCCUCUAAGUAAUUUGAAUGCCUCUUAACAUCUCCUACCAAACCUACCUUAUAUUAAAUAUAUUCUAGCUCAAUUAGUAUUUAUGUUGGUUAACUGAAACCAGAGCUUCUACUGAUCAAAAGUCAAAUUGAGCUUUAAGAUCCUCAGGAGCCUGCUCACCAAUACUGUGCUGUUUAAAUAAUUAAUAACUUUUUCUCCUUUGGGACUUAUUUGGGUAAUUCGGUUGCCCUAUGAUUACCUAUCCUAUUUCUAAUUCUGCAGAAGACCAGAAGAUGGAGAUCAUUGGUAAUACUGGUGAAGCUGAAGACUCAAAGGUAUGCUAUUUACAAUUUCUUAGCAUGUAUUCCUGAUGAGAUCACGUCAGACUUACAGAACAACACUUUGAAUCAUUAAGGAAUUGGUUUGUUAAUAUGCAUUUAAUUUUGUCUGACAAUCUGGCAACUCAAACUCCGCUUUCAUUUUUCGUGUGCAGUAACUGGACAUUGAAGCUUGCAUUCUUAAAUAAAUAGCGACUGAGAUCCUCUCCAAAAUUGUUGUUGUUUAACUGUAUUAUUGUUCUUACCCUGUAAUGUAAUUCUGUGGAGAAAUCGGCAGAUUUCUGAAAUCUUCCAAGCUUCACUUCCAUGCUCUGUAAAACUUGAGAUUUGUAGUUUGUAGAAAUUUGUGUUCUUUCUGUUCUUAUCUCCUUGUUCAGUUCUAGCAACAAAACUAAUUUUAAACUUGGUCAAGUUGUUUCUUGAAAAUAUAUAAAUCCCCACAAAAAAAAAANGAUAUUAUUGUGGGGCACAAUUUUUUUUUCUUGCUUGGGCUUUAGAUAUCUCAGGGCCAGCCCUUACUGUUAUUGUAUGUGUGUCAUACUCAUAUCCAAUUAUAAACCUGCCUUUCUUUUCAUCAAUGGAGACUACCCAUCCCUCCUCCCAAUAUACCACAAUACCUUAUUCGAAGUCCUCCUCUUCCCUCUAAGUAAUUUGAAUGCCUCUUAACAUCUCCUACCAAACCUACCUUAUAUUAAAUAUAUUCUAGCUCAAUUAGUAUUUAUGUUGGUUAACUGAAACCAGAGCUUCUACUGAUCAAAAGUCAAAUUGAGCUUUAAGAUCCUCAGGAGCCUGCUCACCAAUACUGUGC